CCCGUCACACCACGAGAGUUUGUAACACCCGAAGUCGGUGGGGUAACCUUUAUGGAGCCAGCCGCCUAAGGUGGGACAGAUGAUUGGGGUGAAGUCGUAACAAGGUAGCCGUAUCGGAAGGUGCGGCUGGAUCACCUCCUUUCU
This 144-nucleotide ribosomal RNA is filed under the name Bacillus mycoides. Its description in RNAcentral is "partial 16S ribosomal RNA". It matches the Rfam family "Bacterial small subunit ribosomal RNA", at positions 1393 to 1533 of the family's 1533-position model. The record is from RNAcentral. Lineage: Bacteria; Bacillati; Bacillota; Bacilli; Caryophanales; Bacillaceae.